This 21-nucleotide ribosomal RNA is filed under the name uncultured Cochliobolus. RNAcentral's name for it is "partial 28S ribosomal RNA". Lineage: Eukaryota; Fungi; Ascomycota; Dothideomycetes; Pleosporales; Pleosporaceae. The record is from RNAcentral.
CUUGACCUCGAAUCAGGUAGG